This 491-nucleotide ribosomal RNA is filed under the name uncultured bacterium. RNAcentral describes it as "partial 16S ribosomal RNA". It matches the Rfam family "Bacterial small subunit ribosomal RNA", at positions 30 to 508 of the family's 1533-position model. The record is from RNAcentral.
AUUGAACGCUGGCGGCAGGCCUAACACAUGCAAGUCGAACGGUAACAGGAAGAAGCUUGCUUCUUUGCUGACGAGUGGCGGACGGGUGAGUAAUGUCUGGGAAACUGCCUGAUGGAGGGGGAUAACUACUGGAAACGGUAGCUAAUACCGCAUAACGUCGCAAGACCAAAGAGGGGGACCUUCGGGCCUCUUGCCAUCGGAUGUGCCCAGAUGGGAUUAGCUAGUAGGUGGGGUAACGGCUCACCUAGGCGACGAUCCCUAGCUGGUCUGAGAGGAUGACCAGCCACACUGGAACUGAGACACGGUCCAGACUCCUACGGGAGGCAGCAGUGGGGAAUAUUGCACAAUGGGCGCAAGCCUGAUGCAGCCAUGCCGCGUGUAUGAAGAAGGCCUUCGGGUUGUAAAGUACUUUCAGCGGGGAGGAAGGGAGUAAAGUUAAUACCUUUGCUCAUUGACGUUACCCGCAGAAGAAGCACCGGCUAACUCCGUGC